RNAcentral lists this ribosomal RNA (618 nucleotides) under Puccinia hemerocallidis. RNAcentral describes it as "eukaryotic LSU rRNA". The stretch from base 219 to 372 matches the Rfam family "5.8S ribosomal RNA". The record is from RNAcentral. Lineage: Eukaryota; Fungi; Basidiomycota; Pucciniomycetes; Pucciniales; Pucciniaceae.
AAGAGGACGACGAGACAUUAAUAACAAGAGUGCACUUUAUUGUGGCUCAAAAUUUACUUAAUUUCACCCUGAACACUUGGUUGUGUGACUUGUUCAUUGCAACCAGGUAUGUGUAACACAAUUCUUUUUUUUAUUGUGUUACAUUAUCCCCCUCAAUCAUUUUUUUUUUUAAACCCAAGUUGAAUUAUAAGAAUGUAAAUAUUUUAAUAAUAAAAAAUAACUUUUAACAAUGGAUCUCUAGGCUCUCACAUCGAUGAAAAACACAGUGAAAUGUGAUAAGUAAUGUGAAUUGCAAAAUUCAGUGAAUCAUUGAAUCUUUGAACGCACCUUGCACCUUUUGGUAUUCCAAAAGGUACACCUGUUUGAGUGUCAUGAAAAUCUCUCAUCAAAUUAAUUUUUGGUGGAUGUUGAGUGCUGCUGUUAUCUAGCUCACUUUAAAUAUAUAAGUCAUUUUAUGAAUCUUGGAUUGACUUGGUGUAAUAUUUUUUUGAUCAUCAAGGAAAGUAGCAAUACUUGCCAAUAUUUAUUUUCAAGGACUACUAAACCCUUCAACUUAUUUUUAAAACCUCAAAUCAGGUGGGACUACCUGCUGAACUUAAGCAUAUAAUAAGCGGAGGA